RNAcentral lists this ribosomal RNA (403 nucleotides) under Verrucomicrobiota bacterium. Its description in RNAcentral is "Verrucomicrobia bacterium partial 16S ribosomal RNA". It matches the Rfam family "Bacterial small subunit ribosomal RNA", at positions 355 to 776 of the family's 1533-position model. Lineage: Bacteria; Pseudomonadati; Verrucomicrobiota. The record is from RNAcentral.
UGGGGAAUAUUGCACAAUGGGGGAAACCCUGAUGCAGCGACGCCGCGUGAGCGAAGAAGGUUUUCGAAUCGUAAAGCUCUGUCCUAUGAGAAGAUAAUGACGGUAUCAUAGGAGGAAGCCCCGGCUAAAUACGUGCCAGCAGCCGCGGUAAUACGUAUGGGGCGAGCGUUGUCCGGAAUUAUUGGGCGUAAAGGGUACGUAGGCGGUCUAUUAAGUCAGGUGUGAAAGCGUGAGGCUUAACCUCAUUAAGCACUUGAAACUGAUAGACUUGAGUGAAGGAGAGGAAAGUGGAAUUCCUAGUGUAGCGGUGAAAUGCGUAGAUAUUAGGAGGAAUACCGGUGGCGAAGGCGACUUACUGGGCUCAUUCUGACGCUGAGGAACGAAAGCGUGGGUAGCAAACAGG